RNAcentral lists this signal recognition particle RNA (200 nucleotides) under Chloroflexota bacterium. RNAcentral describes it as "Chloroflexi bacterium (oil production facility metagenome) partial signal recognition particle sRNA large type". It matches the Rfam family "Bacterial large signal recognition particle RNA", at positions 1 to 198 of the family's 256-position model. From Rfam's summary of the family: The signal recognition particle (SRP) is a universally conserved ribonucleoprotein involved in the co-translational targeting of proteins to membranes. Archaeal SRP consists of a 7S RNA and homologues of the eukaryotic SRP19 and SRP54 proteins. Lineage: Bacteria; Bacillati; Chloroflexota. The record is from RNAcentral.
UCGUGCUAGACGGGGAGCUAGCGGUGCCCUGUACCCGCAAUCCGCUAUAGCGGGGUCGAAGGCCCUCUCGCGGGGCUGCCCCGGUGGUACCGUGCCCAGCCAGCGGCGUGGAGGGUUGGGUCCCGCGCGGCGGAGGUCUGCGAACCCCGUCAGGUCCGGGAGGAAGCAGCGGUAAGCAGGAGCCUCUGGGUGACGCGGGA